RNAcentral lists this ribosomal RNA (497 nucleotides) under uncultured bacterium. RNAcentral describes it as "partial 16S ribosomal RNA". It matches the Rfam family "Bacterial small subunit ribosomal RNA", at positions 28 to 507 of the family's 1533-position model. The record is from RNAcentral.
GACGAACGCUGGCGGCGUGCCUAAUACAUGCAAGUAGAACGCUGAAGAGAGGAGCUUGCUCUUCUUGGAUGAGUUGCGAACGGGUGAGUAACGCGUAGGUAACCUGCCUUGUAGCGGGGGAUAACUAUUGGAAACGAUAGCUAAUACCGCAUAACAAUGGAUGACACAUGUCAUUUAUUUGAAAGGGGCAAUUGCUCCACUACAAGAUGGACCUGCGUUGUAUUAGCUAGUAGGUGAGGUAAUGGCUCACCUAGGCGACGAUGCAUAGCCGACCUGAGAGGGUAAUCGGCCACGCUGGGACUGAGACACGGCCCAGACUCCUACGGGAGACAGCAGUAGGGAAUCUUCGGCAAUGGGGGCAACGCUGACCGAGCAACGCCGCGUGAGUGAAGGAGGUUUUCGGGUCGUGAAGUUCUGUUGUAAGUCAAGAACGGGUGUGAGAGUGGAAAGUUCACACUGUGACAGUAGCUUACCAGAAAGCGACGGCUAACUACGUG